This is an RNA transcript of Cavia porcellus (domestic guinea pig), 886 nucleotides long. It is a transcript of the gene named negative regulator of P-body association-like, with no coding region annotated. The transcript has 5 exons. The record is from RefSeq and is a predicted model, not a curated record. Lineage: Eukaryota; Metazoa; Chordata; Mammalia; Rodentia; Caviidae.
GGAAGCUUGCUCUGUGACUGGAGGGGAUCCGCCGCCAUCUCAGGUCUUUCGGAUUUCUGGGGUCAGUAGAGAAAACUGACUAGGUCCUGUAAUACUUAUGGAAGACCAAUCUUGUGCAUCCGGGAGAUCCACACUUCCACUGGGAAGCAGGCAGGAAGCCAAGCCACCAAAAAAACGCUGCCUCCUGGCUCCGCGGUGGGAUUAUCCAGAAGGAACUCCCAAUGCGGGUACUACCACUCUCCUCUCUGCACCUCCUGCAUCAGCCGGUCUGAAGUCGCACCCUCCUCCUCCGGAAAAGUAAUGAAAUACAUAGGGUUUUCUACCCUAAAUCAGAAUUCUGCAGUGAAUCCAUCUGGGCCUGGACUCUUCUUUGUAGAUGUUUGAGGUGAAGCAUCAGGUUGUUUGCAUGUAUCUGUUCUGUUUUCCUGAUGUAGAAACUCAGUGCAAUAAUUUUUCCUCUGAGGACUGCUUUCAUUGCGUCUCACUGAUUCUGUUUCCUCUAGGUUUGUUGGAAAUUGCCGCCUAUGCCCUCAGCUCCUAGGACUGAAUGGACCUUUCUUAGUGUGGUUGAGUCAGACCCGCAAGGCCUCCUGUGCCACCUCCGGUCUCCCAGGAAGGUGGAAGGCUCCAAAUCACUGUGGAUCUAAUCAGCAUGAUUUCUUCUGCUGAAUUUGGAUGAAUUAUAGUACAUGAGCAAGAUCAGGUUGUAGACUUUUAGGAAUGAAGACCAUGACCUGUAUCAUGCUGAGCCCACCAAACCAAAUAAUGCUCAUGUGAUGAUCCUGCAACAGCCAACCAGUGGAUCACACCAAGUCCUUGCUGUAUAAUUUAAGAUUCCAUGAAUCCAUCAAGUUCCCAAUAAAUUUCGUCUCAUUGCUUUGUUAGA